GACGAACGCUGGCGGCGUGCUUAACACAUGCAAGUCGAACGGUAAGGCCCUUCGGGGUACACGAGUGGCGAACGGGUGAGUAACACGUGGGUGAUCUGCCCUGCACUUCGGGAUAAGCCUGGGAAACUGGGUCUAAUACCGGAUAGGACUCCUGGCUUCAUGGUUGGGGGUGGAAAGCUUUUGCGGUGUGGGAUGGGCCCGCGGCCUAUCAGCGUGUUGGUGGGGUAAUGGCCUACCAAGGCGACGACGGGUAGCCGGCCUGAGAGAGUGACCGGUCACAAGGGGACUGAGACACGGGCCAGACUCCGACGGGAGGCAGCAGUGGGGAAUAUUGCACAAUGGGCGCAAGCCUGAUGCAGCGACGCCGCGUGAGGGAUGACGGCCUUCGGGUUGUAAACCUCUUUCAGCUAUGACGAAGCGCAAGGGACGGUAGUAGCAGAAGAAGGACCGGCCAACUACGUGCCAGCCGCCGCAGUAA
This 478-nucleotide ribosomal RNA is filed under the name uncultured bacterium. RNAcentral describes it as "partial 16S ribosomal RNA". It matches the Rfam family "Bacterial small subunit ribosomal RNA", at positions 28 to 523 of the family's 1533-position model. The record is from RNAcentral.